Molecule: ribosomal RNA, 253 nt
Filed under: uncultured bacterium
Lineage: Bacteria
Description: partial 16S ribosomal RNA
Rfam family: Bacterial small subunit ribosomal RNA
Source: RNAcentral
UACGGAGGGGGCUAGCGUUGUUCGGAAUUACUGGGCGUAAAGCGCACGUAGGCGGACAUUUAAGUCAGGGGUGAAAUCCCGGGGCUCAACCCCGGAACGGCCUUUGAUACUGAAGAUCUUGAGUUCGGGAGAGGUGAGUGGAACUGCGAGUGUAGAGGUGAAAUUCGUAGAUAUUCGCAAGAACACCAGUGGCGAAGGCGGCUCACUGGCCCGAUACUGACGCUGAGGCACGAAAGCGUGGGGAGCAAACAGG